Molecule: ribosomal RNA, 386 nt
Filed under: uncultured bacterium
Lineage: Bacteria
Description: bacterial SSU rRNA
Rfam family: Bacterial small subunit ribosomal RNA
Source: RNAcentral
AUUGAACGCUGGCGGAAUGCUUUACACAUGCAAGUCGAGCGGCAGCGCGGGGGCAACCCUGGCGGCGAGCGGCGAACGGGUGAGUAAUACAUCGGAACAUGUCCAGUUGUGGGGGAUAGCCCGGCGAAAGCCGGAUUAAUACCGCAUGAGCUCUGGCGAGGAAAGCGGGGGACCGAAAGGCCUCGCGCGACUGGGUUGGCCGAUGUCCGAUUAGCUAGUUGGUGGGGUAAAGGCNCACCAAGGCGAUGAUCGGUAGCUGGUCUGAGAGGAUGAUCAGCCACACUGGGACUGAGACACGGCCCAGACUCCUACGGGAGGCAGCAGUGGGGAAUUUGGACAAUGGGGGCAACCCUGAUCCAGCCAUUCCGCGUGAGUGAAGAAGGCCU